UACAGAGGUCUCAAGCGUUGUUCGGAUUCAUUGGGCGUAAAGGGUGCGUAGGUGGCGCUGUAAGUCGGGUGUGAAAUUUCGAGGCUUAACUUCGAAACUGCAUUCGAUACUGCCGUGCUAGAGGACUGGAGAGGAGACUGGAAUUUACGGUGUAGCGGUGAAAUGCGUAGAUAUCGUAAGGAAGACCAGUGGCGAAGGCGGGUCUCUGGACAGUUCCUGACGCUGAGGCACGAAGGCCAGGGGAGCAAACGGG
RNAcentral lists this ribosomal RNA (253 nucleotides) under uncultured bacterium. Its description in RNAcentral is "partial 16S ribosomal RNA". It matches the Rfam family "Bacterial small subunit ribosomal RNA", at positions 524 to 776 of the family's 1533-position model. The record is from RNAcentral.